RNAcentral lists this long non-coding RNA (23900 nucleotides) under Citrus x clementina. RNAcentral describes it as "Citrus clementina (C. clementina) long non-coding RNA (CCLE_LNC003520)". Lineage: Eukaryota; Viridiplantae; Streptophyta; Magnoliopsida; Sapindales; Rutaceae. The record is from RNAcentral.
GCCUGGUGGAACAGUGGCUAGAAGUAGAGGCACACAACUACAACCCAGCAAUUUACGAGCUGACCAUGCAACUUUUAUUUUCUCCCAAGUUUGGACGUCCCGUUGAUGAAAAAUUGGUGAAGGAGAGUGACGAAAAGCUUGGAAAAACGCUCGACGUUUACGAGGGGAGGCUGUCGAAGAGCAAGUAUUUGGCUGGUGAUUUCUUCAGCCUGGCUGAUCUGAGUCACAUUCCAUUUACCCACUACUUGGUUGGGCCGAUGGGGAGACAGCAUAUGAUUAGAGACAGGAAGCAUGUGAGUGCUUGGUGGGAUGAUAUUAGCAACAGGCCGUCCUGGAAGAAAGUCCUUGAGCUUUGUAAGACUCCUUUCGGCUGAGCUUGAUUGUAUGUGUUUCGAUUUUCGGGCUUGUGUUUUACUUCUUUACUACUUGGUUUGUUUCUGUCUGUGGGAUAUGUUUCUUGCAUAUGUGUUUCAAAUAAAUAAAUGUUUGGAGUUGGAGCUUUUUUUUUAGGCUUGAUUCUUUUUUUAUUUUAUACUGCUUUUUUUUUUUUUUGAAAAAAAAAAGGGGUUAGAAAGUGUCUUUUACUUUAUUGCAAGUUGUUUAUUUAUUCAAAUAGAAGAGGUCUUGUAUUUUUUUUUUUUUUUUUUGGGUAGUAAUGAUAUCGACAUGUCCUCUAAAAAUGCUGCUUUGCCGGGGUAAAAGAGUGUAAUCAAUCUGAGCAUUUUACACGCACAAGUUACCCACAAUUUCUUAACUACGGGUGGAGUUUGCAUAAGACUAGAGGGUGUCUCGGCACUUGCAAAAAUUUAGAAAAGUUUUGGGAAUUUUAUGAAAAAUUAGAUGUGAAAAUACUAACUUGACCCGGCACUCACUUGAUACAUGAACUUAAUAUGUUAUAGGAUAACAGUGUACUUUUACAUUCUUCACUAACAUUAAUUUGGAAGCUAAAAUAAAAGUAAUUAGAGGGAAAAAAAAGGGACAAAAUGUGAAAGCAACCCCCCAAUCACGUGAAUAGCAAAUCCCCAAAUCGCAAGCUGCAAACAAAUCCCUGAAUUCCCAUCAAUUGAAAACCAUUCAAAUAAUCAAUGUUUCAAAGAAAAGCUGCCGAGAAUUAGAAGUCAAUAGCAAUUCUCCAAAUUCUAAAAAUCCAACAAUCUCACAUGCCAAAGCAAUACUAAAUAUUCAUUAAGUUACUGAAACUAAAGGAAAAAAGUAUCCUUCUAGACAGUUCUCUCUCAAAGAGAGCCUAGAAUUGAUGAAGUAAAGGAUCCUUGGUGAUCCAAAUUUGUCACUCACUCACGGGUUGAGUGGCGGAGUGUCACUCGCAGGGUGGGUGGAAAACAUUAAAAAAAACAGGAAGGGGGAAAUUGGUAAGAGUAUUAAACAUGGUAAGGGGAAUCAAUAUAGUUAAAAGGGUUGGUGAGAAGUUGGUGAGUUUUUUAGUUCAACUGAUCUGCUUUAAAAGGAGAGAUGGACGCUGAUGAAUUCAUACGUAAAUGUGAAGCCAUAAGCUUAAAAUCAGAAGAAGACAAUAUGAUCAACUUUGGGGGAAGAAUGAAGGCUAAAGGACAGAAAAUUGCAGCACUUUGUCUCGUUGGAAAAAUAUUUCAUACAGGUGGAGUCUCCCGUGAAGGGCUUAGAGCAACGAUGCAACGAGUAUGGAGAUCAAUAAAGGAAUUGAAAGUGGAGAGUCUAGGUGAAAACGUCUUCAUCUUUAAAUUUGCCUCAGAAAGCAAAAAAAAGAGGAUAUUGCAUGGAGGAGCAUGGCACUUCAACAACCUGCUAAUGGUGCUCAUAGAACCAUCCAAUGUGGGUAACAUUAAGCAGCAGGCUUUCAACCAUACAUCAUUUUGGGUGCAAAUUCACAAUGCACCUAUUAUGUGUAUGGAUAAAGACAUAAUGAGGGAGAUAAGAAAAAAGAUUGGUAAGGUUGAGGAGGUGGAAAUGGAUGAAACAGGGGAAUGUUUUGGCUCUUUUUUCUCGCCUAAGAAUCUCGAUAGAUGUAACACAGUCACUGAAAAAAGGUUGUUGUUAAAACUAGAAGAUAGUGAGAGGAUUUUUAUUGAAUCGCUUAUGAAAAAUUGCCUGACUUUUGCUUCUAUUGUGGGCUAAUUUAGCAUCAAUGUAAGGAGUGUCUUGAGUAAAAAGGGUAGCCAAAAGAUAGUUAACAUAUGGAGCAUGGAUGAAAGCACUGACAAGAGAGGAAAGAGCCAAGCAGAGAACGAUUAAGAACUUUGGAAUAGGAAGCAAAGAGCGUCAUAGUCAGCAUUGGAAAACCAAUAACAAGAAGAACGAAUUCAAUAAAAAACGGGCCAGGGUAAGCAAUGUGUGAGAGAUGGAUCUGGGGCAACCCAAUCUCACAAUGGGAUCAGCACAAAGCCAACAAAGAUCAUCCACGUGGAAGGAUUAACUGCAGGCUCAUUAAUGAAGCAUGGAGGGGAUAAUAAACAACAUACUAUAAACUAUAGCAAUGCUACAGAGAUAGCUGAUGGGGAGCUAAUGUCUAUAAAAAUGAGCAAUUUAGCGGGAAACAGUGAAAAGAAUAAGUGGGAAAAUGCAUUGGAGAUGGAAAAAAAGAAUAUGGGCUCAAUGGGCCUAAAUAUGCUGAGAGAUGGGGCUGGGCAUAAACCCACAAUCCAUGGGUUUAACUAAAUCUAAACUAAAUUAAAUAAUUUGGGUUGGGUAAAGUAUGAAAAUGGGUUAAAUAUGGAUUUUAUAUAAAAAAUCAUUUCAUUAUGGGUUGGGUAUGGUUUAUCCAUGGGUCAUGAACAAAACCUCAAUACUCAAACUUGUCAAAUGAAAUAAAUGAAAACAAAAACAAAUAAAUGAAAGGUCAUUAUUAAAUUGUUCGCGACGUGAUCAAUUGUUAACAGUUAGAAAAGGAAAACAACAUGUAAAAACAAAUCUAAAUUAAAUAAAUGCUACUGUAAAUAAUUAAAUGAGAUGAAAUUAGGGUUUGAUGAAAUGAAAUCAUUUUUUUUUCAAUUUAUGAACUCAUAUUAUACUUACGUAAUUACCGCUUUUAUGUUUCUAACAGUAAUAAGAAAAACACCAAAUCUAUAUUGUUGUUUUUGUAUUUAAAUCAAGGAAAAUUAUAGUAAUAAUGUUGAGAUGGUUUUUGAGGGCAUAGUUACCUAGCCAUUGGAAGGAAAUAAUUAAUAAUUAUGAGAAAUGAUAUUUCGCCAUUGAUAAAAUAUUAUUGUGUUAGAAAUUAUUAUAAAUAAAAUUAACAUUUUGUGUGCUAUAUUGAUACUGUAGCAUAAAUAAUACUCCAUUUUUUAUUUUGAUGGGAUUUAUUGACAAUGAUCCUCCAUCCUGAAAUUUAUGAGCAAUCAACUUAUUGAAAAAAAAAACACCAUUUGAUAGAAAAUUAUCAUCUCAAUAAUUAUAAGUCAAAGGAUACAUUUUUUUAGUUAAAGAAAUUUUAUUAUUUUAACUAAAUGGCACUUACAUAAGUUUAUUUAUUUAUUUUCUUUCUUUGAAUUUACCUGUUGAUGUCAUGUUUGUGGAAGUUUAUUAUUAGAGUUUAUGUUCUUAUUUAUUGAGAAUUAAUGAUUUUUGUGAUUAAACUUUAUUUUAAUUUUCUAGUAUUCUUUAAUUUAAGGAUUAAGUUAUUGUAAAAUUUAUUAUUUAUAAUUUUUAUCCACUAUAUUUUUUUUCAUAUUUUAGUAUGAAUUUAAUAAUUAAUAAAAAUUGAAUUAAAAAAAUAAUUAAUAAUUUUUAUAAUUUUUAUAUAAUUAAAUUUAUCAAAAUAAAAAAUAUUUUAAUAAUAAAUUUCAAACCAAACCCAAAUGGAUUGGUUUGGGUUGGGUUGGGUUGAAAACAUUUGAGUUGGUUUGAGUUGAACCCAAACUUUUAUGGUUUAGUUUGGGUUGUCUUAAAACCCAAUCCAAACCAACGUCAUGCCCACCCCUAUUGAGAGACAAUAUGGACCAAAUACAAAAGCAUACUGAAACAGAAGUAGCUGGGAUAUGCACAUUUGUGAAAGAUAAGAGGAAGAAAUCAAGAAAUGGAAAUUGGAAGUAAGGGAAAGAGUAAUUACACGGGCCGGAAAUGUUGGGCUAAUUUCACUCAAGCGGCCCGUGGAAGAAUAAAUAAAACCAAGCCCAGAAUGCAAAAAAAUUAAAAUGAGGAGCCUGGGUGAUUCACAAGCCAAGCAAACUCAACUUUCCCCAGUAAAAUUUAAUCUUUUGUGGGUAGAAGAAACAAGAAGUUUGAAAUAUGGACAAAGGAGGUUUACAGAGAAUGUAGCGGCAGAGGCUGGAAACCAACCCCACUGACAGCCAUGAAAAUCAUAAGCUGGAACGUUUGAGAUUUGGGGAAUCCCCGAACGUGCCUAGCAUUGAAGAAAAUCCUCCAAUUGCAGAAGUCUCAGCUGGUGUUUCUUUAUGAAACCAAAUUGACAAAUGUGCAUGUCAAAUAAGCGUGUAGAACGAUGAUUCUAGAUAGUUAUUUUGCUACUGAUAAAGUUGGAAAGACUGGUGGCUUUGCCUUAUUAUAGAGUAAGGAUAUUGAUGUUCAACUUAAAUCCUACAACAGACACCACAUAGGCAUGCAUGUUCAGCACGUGAAUGGGAAAUUUUGGAGAUGCACAGGAGUAUAGGUACCCUAAAUCAAAUAAAAAAAAGCACAGCUUGACUCUUUUGAGAAGAAUGUCAGGUUUGUCCUCUCUCCCAUGGCUGUGUUUUGGUGACUUUAAUGAGAUCCUGUAUUCAAAUAAGAAAACUGGGGGUUUGGAUAGAAAUGCCAAUGUGAUUGCCGAAUUUAGUGAUGCUGUGAAAGAAUGUAAGCUAAUUGAUUUGGAGAGUAGAGGUCAUCCGUUUACUUGGUCUAACAGACAACUUGGACCAUAUUGCAUAGAGAAAAAAUUAGAUAGAUUUUUCUACAACCAAGAAUGAAGAGCUGAGUUUCAUGUUGAUCUAAUUUCAACUUGAUCCAUUGGGAGUUUGAUCACUAUCCGAAUAUGAUUAGAGAACGGCAACGAAGUCUUGUGUAUGAGAGAAGAAAUUUCAAUAGAAUUCACUAUGAGAAUAUGUGGAGCUCCUAUAAGGCAUUCCAAAAUAUACUGAAAAUCGAGUGGCUUAAGUGGCAUAUAAGUACAGAAGUCAACCCCGUGCUAAUGUUCAAAACAAUUGCCAAAAGCUCAAUGACUUAAUUGCCGUGCUCAUGUUUUGCAUAAUAGAACUCCACAAUUUGAUUGAAAAAGUCCCAAAACAACAGUAAGCUGAGAAUCUGGUUUGGAAGCUGCUGGUGCUGCGGCUGCAAGUCCUACUGUUACUUGUUUGCUGGCUCCUAAUUUCUUGGGACUACCUGAUCCAUAAUGUUGUGAUUUGAAAGAAAAUAAAACGGAGAAGUGGUGAAGUUAAAAAAAAAAAAGAGAGGCGAGCAUAUAUAAAGCAGCAAAACCGAUUAACCAGGAGCAAGAACAACCAGCGCAAAGUUCAAGCAACCUGAAUGCAGAAACCGGAGCCAGAUUGAAUUGUAAAGACAAUGGACUAAUGGAGGUAUGCAAUAUGGAGCAGGUGGUUGAUGACCCAUUAAUGCUAGGGUAUAGGAUGGCAAAAUUUCAAAAUAUAAACUGCAUAAAGCAGGUCAAGAUACAUGUUGGCGUGAAAAUUUUUUCUGGAAAAAUGAGUGUUAAAGCGAGAAUUGAAGAAAAGUGCGAAAAUGUGAAAUUGGCUAAGGAAGGCAAAUGGCUCCUAGUUUUUUGGGGACUACCUGAUCCAUAAUGAAUUUGCAAUCAUUAAUAUCCACACCCGCCACAUUCACCCCUGCCACGGCCACGACCACUUUCAUCGCCAUAACCAUGGCCACUACUAUAGCCAUCACCACGGCCACCAUCACCGGCAGGUUGUCCACAGUUGGAAGCUAAAGUCCUUAUAACUAUUUGUUGAGUUGUGUCCCACAUUGACUAAUAAAGGGGAGAUGCUUGGAUUUAUAAGGUGGUAAGUCACUCUACCUAAAAGGCUAGUCUUUUGGGUUGGAUACCUAAAAAUCUUAUGCUAAGUCCCCCCAACAAGUGGUAUAAGAGCUAGAUCCUAGUAGCCGGAAUGUGGUGGUGGAACAACUCAGGUGUGUUGGACGAAAGGACCGGAGUCUGGCGGUGGUUUUGUCCGAGGGGGGAUUGUUGAGUUGUGUCCCACAUUGGCUAGUAAAGGAGAGAUGCUUGGGUUUAUAAUGUGGUAAGUCACUCCACCUAAAAGGCUAGUCUUUUGAGUUGGAUACCUAUAAAUCUUAUGCUAAGUCCCCCAACAAGAUUCUUUGUUAAUUGGUGUUACGGCUACUAGUCCUGCAGUUGCUGGUUUGUUGCCUCCUAAUUUCUUGGGACUACCUGAUCCAUAAUGUUGUGAUUUGAAAGAAAAUAAAACAGAGAAGCGUUGAACUUAAAAAAAAAAGGGUAGAAGCGAGCAUAUAUAAAGAGCAAAACCAAUUAACCAGGAGCAAGAACAACAAGCACAAAAUUCAAGCAAUCAAAUGUAGAAACCGGAGUCAGGUUGAACUGCAAAGACAAUGGACUAAUUGCAUGAGGUAUGCAAUGUGGAGCAGGUAGUUGAGGACUAGGAUGGCAAAAUUUCAAAAUACAGACUGCAAAAAGCAGGUCAAGAUACCUACUGGCGUAACUUGUUGGCGUGAACAAUUUCCUUGAAAAAUGGGUAUUAAAGUGAGAAUUGAAGAAAAGCCCGAAAAUGUGAAAUUGGUUUAAGGAAGACAAUUAUCUCCUAGUUCUUGGGACUACUUAAUCUAUAAUCAAUUUGCAAUCAUCCAUGUCCACACUUGCCACAUCUACCCAUGCCACCCCCACGACCACUUCCAUCGCCAUAACCACGGCCGCUACCAUUGCCACUGCCACGGCCACGGCCAUCGGCAAGUUAUUUAUGUAAUUACAAAGAGUGUUUAUAGAAAGAGUUAAUUAUGUCUAUUUUUUAAUCGGCCGGGUUAUUACAAAUGGGGUGUGUCCAGUAUUUUACUGGGGUGUUAGAAGCAGUCACUCCCUCCAAUUUAAUUUUCGUUUUCAAAAGUCAAUUCUUUACGCGAGUCUUUCUAUAGAAAUUGUAAGUUUAUUUUUUUGUUUAUUUUUUUCCUUUUGUGAAACAUAGGACAAUACACAUGAUGGCGUGCGCUUAUCUACGACCUCCCUUGACAUAACUUCCUACCAGUGGCUGUAAAUUAAUAUAUAAAUAUAAUGAAAAAAUCCCACUAUGGCACUAUAUUUGCCUAUUUAAAGGGGAUAAGCAAACUGCCCAGCAUCACAAACUCACUUACUGCUUUUUAUUGAGAGAAAAAGUUGAGAAAGAGAAUAGCAAAAGCAACAACAAUGGUGGUAAAGGUGUACGGCCCAGCUUAUGCUUCUCCUAAACGAGUGAUUGUUUGCUUGAUUGAGAAGCAGAUCGAAUUUGAAACUGCUCCCGUUGAUCUCAUCAAAGGAGAGAAUAGAAAUCCUGAGUACCUCAAAUUGCAGGUUCAUUAAUUUAAUCAGCAAUUUUUUUUUUUAUAAAUAUAUUAUGCAUGUAUGCAUUAUCUAAUCACUUCAUUCAUUAAUUGACGAUCGUGUGUCUCGAUGCUUCGAUUAAUUAAUUACUCUUUUGUUUUCAAUUCUGACAAAAUUAUAUAUACAGCCUUUCGGUGCUCUGCCUGUCAUUCAAGAUGGAGAUUUUACGUUAUACGGUACUCCUUCCACUUUCAAAUUGAAAUGUAAAAUUUAAUUAAGAGUAAAUACUUUUAUGUCUUUAGAUUUAAGUUAAUUAAACAGAUAGUUUGUGAGAUUUUUUUCUAAAAUUAUCCAAAAUGGUAUUGAAAAUUUUGUUUUGGUUAAACUUUACUCGAUUAUUCUUUACUUCAAGUCGGUUGCAUCAAGGGUUGGCAAUGGGACGGGAUGGGAUGAGAUUUACCAAUUUCAGUCCCGUCCCGUAUAUGUACAUGAGAUGAAAAAAUGUUCCAGUCCCAUUCCUAUAUUUUUUUUGGGACAAAAAUAUGUUCAAAUCUCCUCCCCAAAGAGAUGAGAUCCUGCGGGAUCCCAUCCCAAUUGAAAAACUUUCCAUUCUUAAUCAGCAAUGAGGCGGGAUGAGACGAAAUUUGCCAAUUUCACUCCCGUCCCGCAUAUGUAAUUGGGAUAAAAAAAUGUCCCACUUCCGUCCCUAAAUUUUUUUAUGGGACAAAAAUAUGUCUCAAUCCCGUUCUAAAUGGGAUGGGAUCCCGCAGGAUCCCAUCCCAUCGGGAAAAAUUGCCAUCCCACUUGCAUGCCAAUUUUGUUUAUAUUUUAAAUUAUUAUGUCAGAAAAAUUCUAUUCUAUUAUUGACAAAUCAUAUCCAUAUAUAGUUAUGAAAAGUAACUGCACAAACAUUUUGGAUAACUUCUUAAGAUAAAAGAGGUAACAGAGUAAAUCAAGCAAACUCUAGAGAUUAAAAGGAAAAUUUAAGCUUUCAAAAUUACUAGUUUUGUAUUCUAGUUAUAAGUUUAACAUUUCAAGUUAAUGAUUCAUUUACAGAAUCUCGAGCUAUCAUAAGGUACUACGCCGAAAAGUACAGGUCUCAAGGAACCGAACUUCUGGGAAAAACAAUUGAAGAAAGAGGCCUUGUGGAGCAAUGGCUAGAGGUAGAGGCACACAACUAUCACCCACCAAUUUACGAGAUGACUGUGCAACUUUUAUUUGCCUCCAAGUUGGGACUUUCUGUUGAUGAAAAAUUGGUAAAGAAGAGUGAAGAAAAACUUGGAAAAGUUCUUGAUGUUUACGAGGGGAGGCUCUCAAAGAGCAAGUAUUUGGCAGGAGAUUUCUUCAGCCUGGCUGAUCUGAGUCACCUUCCAUUUACUCAAUACUUGGUUGGGCCGAUGGAGAAGGAGUACAUGAUUAGAGACAGAAAGCAUGUGAGUGCUUGGUGGGAUGAUAUUAGCAACCGGCCAUCCUGGAAGAAAGUCCUUGAGCUUUAUUAGCUACUUUGGCUGAGCUUGAUUUCAUGUAAUAAUAAUCUUGGGGCUUGUGUUUUUACUCCUGCUUCCUAAUUCGUUCAUGUGUUUGGCGAUAUGUAUCUUUCUUGUGUCUUUUUGGUUUUAAUAAAUAAAUGCUGGGGGCCUUGGAGGACAGAUUGCGUAGACCUUUCCAUGUUUUAAAAUAUUUAAAUUAAAGAUGGCACGACAUAUAUAGUAAAGUUCUUAUCCAAAUUAAUUUUACAAUGCGUAAACAUUCACAGUUAAAAUGAUAUCUUCAAAGCAUUUGCACUUAAGAAAACAGUUUUCUUUUCUUUUCUUUUUCAUUUCUUUUAGAGGCGAAAAGCUAUAGAGAAAGGUGAUAUGUCAUUGAAAAUGUGCAUUCCAAUUGCACGGGGCUGCCGAAGGUUGCUGUUAAUACUCGGGUUGACAGUGUACUUUUUUCUACUGGUCGUUCAUAAACACAAAAUUUUCAAUGGCUAUAUGCGUGAAAAAACCAAAAAAUUCCAUCAGAAAUGAAAUUGUCAUGAUUUUUCUCUGGUUGUUUAUUGAAAACGUAUAUAUUGUAGUUUAGUCUUCCUGAAAAUGAUCUGGAUAUGUCUUACAAAACAAUGCUGCUUUGCCUGGACUAAUGAACAGGACAAAUUUGCCCGCAUUUUUCUGGGAAAAGCCAAACACCAAGAUAUUUACCAAAGUUGCAUGAGAGUGUAACCUUGUAUAAAUGGGUAAAGGAAUCCCUCUCCAAACUUUAUAUAUGUAUACAAUAGCUGAUUGGAUUCUUAAUCACUUGUCUUACCAAUCAAACAAUUUAUCAUUUAAUCAAUAGCUAAUCACAUUUAAGAGGUUACUUAAAAAUUAAGUUAGUGAAAAUGUCUUAAUUAAAUUGCAUGUGCCAACGAUACUGCAUCAUCAUACUAGUAGUCAAUUACUUAUAACCACCAUGUAUAUCCAUGCAAGAUCCUCCAUUAAUAUUAAUUUCUUAAUGUGGAAGUUAUACAGAUAUGCAGCCACCAUGUACAUCCAUGCAUGAUCCUUCAUUAAUAUUAAUUUCUUAAUGUAAAAGUUAUACCGAUAUCCACACACAUACUUAAUUACCAAUUUAAGAUUUCUCACCUAACAAAAAAAGUAUCAUUAUGUUUUUGUAUUAUAUUAUUGGGUCCGAUUAUCAAAUUUCGCGGUUUAAGCGCCAUCAAAUGACUAAAAAUUAAAUAAAAUUAAAUAAAACCUGACUAUUUGAUAUGUUUAAACUAUAGAUGCCUAUAAUUUUUUAACCAUAAUCUGCAAAUAUUUUUGGUCAUAUAUAUCAAUCAACUAUUAUGUAUACUCUAAAAAUUAAUAUUUAUAUUGAGUAUUUUUAUGAAAUCUCACGAUCACAGAAUUUAUGGUAACCAAAUUACGCAUCUCUCCAUCCUAAUUAUAUAACGUUAGGUGUACCGACAACAACUCAUAGGAUAGAAAAUUAAUGAUAAUAUAGCGAUGAGUAACCACUUGAUAACGUGUUAGAUUUAUUCAAAGAAUAUAUAUAUAUAUAUAUAUAUAUAUAUACACAUACAUACAUAUAUAAGAAUUAAGAGCAUAGAUGGAUCACGCGUGGCUACAACUGAAUAAGGUUAGGUAAUGCUUCGUAAUUUGGAAACAAUUAUAGCUGUACUACAAAGUUAUUAUUAUUAUUAUUAUUAUUAUUAUUAUUAUUUUGGCAAAUGCUAAGUAACUUAUGGGCUCCCUAUUAUUUUUCAAAUGAUAGGUUUAAAACGAUAUUGUUACUUUUUUUUUUUUUUGGUUUAAACCAUCCGAUUUCCGGCGACCGCAUUGGGCCCCGACUAAUUCGGAUUCGGGGUGUAGUCACAGUUAAGGCUCUUUACCCCUCCCAAAUGGUGUGUUUAGUGAGGAUCGAACCCGAGAGCUCUUCCCACUUACCCAGCCUGCGCCGCCAACUGAGCCACAACCGUUUGGUAAACGAUAUUGUUACUUUAGGAUCACUUCAUCGUAAUGUUCAUAUCACAAGUAAGCGUCAAGAAAUGAUUUUAAGGUUAUUAUCUUAUGGCUUUAGAAGUUUUCUCUUAUGGCUUUGGAAGUUUUCUCAUAAUAAUUAUUGGAUUCACCAUGCACUACAUAAGCUUCCAAAAGUCUAGCAACGAAUUCAGUCAACUCAAUGAAAAAACAAUUUGACCACACAAAAUUAAUUAUUGCUAAUCAUUGUUUUUCAGUUAAUUCUAUUCAUUUUUUAAAAAUUAAUUUUAUUUAAAAAAAGAACACUUACUCCCCUACGAUUUGAAAAAAUAGUCAUAUAAACUCCAUGUUUUCAAUAAAGGGACGCCCUUUGACUCUAUUAAUUCAAAAAAAUUAAUUCCAAUAUUUUAUAAUAAAUAGAAGAAUGAUAUUAAAAUAAAUGUAACAAUGUAUACAUUUUUAAAUAAUUUUAAUAUUUAAAAAAUAUUGUAAUACUUUACAAUCUUAUAUUAUAUUAAACUAAAUUUUAUAAUAAAUAGAAAUACAAUUUUAAAACAAAAUAUAUAAAAAACUUAAAUUAUUAUUAUUAUAUAAAAUAAUUUUAAUAUAAUUAAUACAUGAGAUUUAUUUUAUUAAUUGUAAAAUCUAUUUAACCCAAUGAUUUAUUGAAAUUUUUUAUAAUAAAUAUAAAUAUAUUAUUAAAAUAAAUAAAUAAUUUACAUUUUAAAAAUAUUUUAUAUAUUAAAAAAUCUAAUUUUAUUAACUUACUGGCUAGACAAAUUAAACAUUUUAAGUUAUAUUUUUAUCUGUUAAAAAAUUUUGAAUUCAAUUUUUUAGUUAUUAUCUACUAGGAGUAUUAUAGUAAAAAAGAGAUGUUAAUAUCCCUUAUUGAAAAUUUGGAGUCCACAUACCCAUUUCCCUAAAUCUUGGUGGUGUAUGUAUCUUUUUCUAGAAUAUUAAAAUACAAUUUAAAAUAAAUAUUAAAUUUUCUUUUCUCUCUCGUAUACUCUCUCUCGGGCAUCAUCCUUCAUCGCUGCUCUAUCCACCACCACCGCCACCACACAUCUUUAUACAAUAGAUCUAUCACCACCUACAACACAUGAUGUGUUUUGUCGGGUUUUGUAAAAUUUCGUGAAUAAGAGAUUCGUUUAAUCGCUCCUUAGAGCAUAGAUUUUGAUUUUUAUUUGUGAUAAUCCAAUAAUUCAACAAUUUAAAUUUAAAAUUUGUUUUAAAAUUAUGAAUCAAUUCAACAAAAUGAGAGUCAGGGAGAGAGGAUAAGUUCACGAGCUCCGGAGAGGCAAAAGAAUAAAAAUUGACUUUAAAGCUCAUUUUGGUUUGGAGCCCGCUUUACGUCUUUGGGUCCAGGAGGAAUCUAUUCAGGGCUGGCAACCUAAAAGGCCAAAAAUGGGAAACAAAGAAAAUGAAAUUGGAUUUUUUAGAUCAGUAAGCCUUUUGGUACCCUAAAAAACUCCUUAUAGAAUUCGUCUUUAAUUAAAAUUACUUAAAUAACAUAACAAAUAUUAAUUCAUUUCCUGUUUUGAAUGGAAAUUCAAUUAAACACUUACAUAAUUAUUAUUUUAACAAUUUUUUAUACCUACCCCAUUUUAUAGUUUAUAUUUAUAUUUUAAAUUUUAAUAAAAAUAUUUUUUUGAGAGAAGUAUAAAAGUUUAGAGUUAUGAAAAUAGAAAUUUUAUAAUAAGAAGAAAAAUUCAAGAUAAAUUUAAUAUUUAGGUUUAUAUGCAAUUUAAAAAGAAGAAUUUUUUUUGGGUAAAGUUUUAUAGAAAGAUGGGUUGAUUUUUACAUAUCAAAUUGUAUUUUAUCAAUUUAACUGAGGACACUUUAAGAAAUAAAUUUAAAAGAGGUGUUAUAAAGAUUUUAAAAAGAGUGUUAAAAGCUCUACUCUUUCUAGAUCAUUGCCAAGGCCAAAAAAAUAACGUUAGUAACUCCUAUUCAUUUUGUAUAUUUAAUUAUUUAUUAGUAUUGGGUCUGGAUUUUUGAAAAUUUUUCGAGGAUUGGAUUGAGUUUUCAAAUUGCCCUAACCCAACUCAAUCUUGAUUUUAGAGAAAACUUGAAUACCAAACUGCUAUGCCAGUUGUGCGAUAAGGUGGAUCCAAAAUGAAUUCUCUAGUUCUUUCUCACCAAUCUACUAUAUUUGGGCAGUGAGAUGAGAGUUAAAAUUCUCUUUUGCUACUUUUCUAAUACACAGAUUCACUAUAUCAAAAUUUUGGCUAUGAGAAUUGAGAAAUGAGUGGAUGCUUUCUCAUCGACAGUGAUAAAUCUUGUUUUGGAUGUUUUCUCAUUUCGCUCGUGGCCUUCCAGCCGUCACAAGAACUCUCUCUCUCUCUCUCCCCCUUCCUCUCUCUUUUUCCUCAUGUGUUGUAUAUGCUUUCCUUUUAGUUUAUUUCCAGCGUGUGGUUUGAUUCAUUAAGUAUGUGUGUGGCAUAAAUUGUUUAAAGAUGUAGUGAGAAACAGUUGAAAAACUGGUGCUUUGGUAGUCACAUGAAUUGGAUGCUCUUCCCCUUUGAAAACAAGAUUUAUAAUUUACCAUGAAAAUUAUAUUUCAUGUUUGGGAUAAAUAAAAUGAGUUAUGAUACUUUAUUUUAUCGAAUUUAAAUUUAGUGUUGAGCUAAAUUUUAUCUUGAUCUUUAAGAUUUAAAUUUGUUCUUACUUAACUUAGAUUAACUCAAUGACUUUGAAGCUGUAUUUUUUAUCAUUGUAAUCUAUAGUUGAAUAUUUUGAGUUUGGUGAUGUUUCAUUGUUUGCUCUUUUAUUUGUUCAUCUUUUCCAACUUCCUCUGACCCAAAUUAGUAAUCUAAUCCGAAUUAUUAAUCCAAAUCCUAUUGCAACCCGCACGGUAUUGCAACCUGAAGUUAACAUCUCAAAACUGAAACAAAUUAUGAUCCCGAACUGAAUCGAAUAGAAUUUGAAACCAAAUCAAACCAAAAUAAUUUUUCAACCCGUGUGAGUUGAAUUCUUAAACCCGAAUGGGUUGCAAAAUGAACCGAAAAUUGGAAAAAUUGAACAAUCUCUAACUUUUAAUGCUAGCUUAAUCGAGUUAAUUCCAAUUUCACUUAAAUUGGAUAAAUGUAUAGGCUAUGUUUUUUGGCUAAUCCAAUUUACAUUGAUCCCUUGUUCAGUUGUCAUUUUGGUCUGUGAUAUGAUUUUCUUAAUUUUCUUUUAGAUAUAAACAAUCGUGUAAUAUGUUUGAAAUUUAAAUGGGGAUUGGGUACCACUUUUAAUUUCUUGCUCAAUUCGGGGAUUAUUGGGACAUCUCCUAACUAUCUCCAAUUAAAAUAAUUUUUGGGUAUGGUUUGAGUUUGGAGAUUGCUUCCAAGUCGGGUUCAGGCACCAGGAUCAUCACCAAACCCGCCCCAUUGCUAUCCCUAUUGCUAGAUUAGCAAGCAUGAGCUCGAAUUUCUUGGUGUGAAAAAUUUAGGCUAAUCUACAAAUAAGUUCAGAUGGCUGAGCUUGGAUUACGUUUUGUUCCUUAUUUAUAUUUAUCAGCUCCAUAUGGUUGUUAGCUGUAGUUUUUCGGAUUCUAUCCUUCAGAAUAUUGUUGAAUUAAUUCUUUGUUUUUACAUAGACUGAUAAAAAAAGACACCUCUUGCGCUUGUUUUCGUCUUAUUAAUCUCAGUCUCUCACUUGCUCUACGCUCCACUAACUUUCACCAAAUGGUCACUGAUCAAUUCAUGCAUCUAGACAUGUUUUCCUAAUAGCUUAUAUCUCAAUUAUUAUUCUUUCUGACAUGUUGAGAUUUUAGGAAUCAUGAGUGAGAGAAAAUAGCUUAUGAGUUAACAAAGCUUUCAGUUUUAUGUACUAUUGCUAAGAGGCUAAACAGCUACUGUUUUCAAAUCCGUUAUAGGGAAGCAUUUUACAGUAGAUUCUUCAUUGACUGGUUUCAAGGAACUAAUUAGUGAAAACUAAAAGAUAGUUUGGUUUCAGUGCAACCAAAAACAUACUGGCAGUACAAUUUUCCCAAUGUUAGAACUCAUUUUAGUCAGAAAAUUUGAAUUUAGUAACAUUGUAAUUGAGGUCUUAUGAUAGUAACAUUAGUUGUAUAUGAGCAUUCACUCUAGUUGCUGUGGAUUCUAAUGUUUAUCAUCGCAUCUCUCAUGCAUCGAGAAAUUAAUUACUCAAGAGUCAAGUCAUCUUUCCAGCUUAUGUUUGUCUUCCACAAUCAACUCCAAAGCUUAAGCAAAUUUUAUGAGUAUUCACCAGUUCGUAUUGGAUUCUAAUGUUUAUUAUUGCAUGUCUCAUUCACCGAGUAAUUUAUUAAAGUCAUCUCCCUGGUUUAUGUUUGUCUUUCACAAUCAAUUCCAAAGCUUAAGCAAUUUUUUUUUGGACAACAAGUCAACCACACUAUAUAUAUAUAUUUUUUGGUGGAUCACUUCUUUUUUUGUAGCACGGCCUACAUCAAUAUUCUUUCAUAUUUGAUACUGCUUUGCUUUUUACAGCUUGAAAGUCAAGAAUAUGGCACUGGUAGCGAGGAUGAUUAUGAUGGCGGUACAGUGAAGAAGAUGAAUCUCGUGCGGGUAAGCUCAAGCCUGUCCUUGAUGACCAUGUAACAGAUGAAUUGGAAAUUGAUAACGACUAUAAAGUUCCAGCACCUGAUGUUAUUCGUCGUUGUGUGGAAUAUGCUGAAAAGUAUGAAAAUGAAAAGGAAGAUGAAGAGGUAGUUAUUAUGCAGGAAAGUAGUGAUGAGUCAGAAAAGUGGGAUUGUUAGACUAUCGUUUCUACGUACUCAAACUUUGAUAACCAUCCAGCUAAAAUUGUAGCUCCGGGGUUAGCAGGAAAGAAAAAGUUGGCUGAAACCAUCUCUGGAGCCUUGAGUGCUCCCAGACAUGUCAUAUUCCUUCAAGGAAAGGAGAAGCUGCCUCUGGACUUUCUGCCUCUUAGUCGAAAAGCUGCUACGGAAAAAAGUGAAGUCUGCGGGUGCUCCAAAAACUGAACAGCAGAAGAGGAAGCAGCAUGGCCAAGAAUCGAAAGAAGAGAAGAGAGAACGGAAGGUAUUUGUUUGUUUCUCCAGAUUUCUCUGUAUAUUUUUGUGCAUUUGCCACAUAUCAGCAUGUGUUAUUUUUUGUGAACAGUCUUCUUGCUUGUUUCCUGAUGCUUGUAACAUUUCAAAUAUUGUCUUAGGUUUAUGCUGUUUAUCUAUUUACGUUUAGAUGUGAUUUGAUAAGGACAUAUACUGCAUGCAAGCUGCAGUGAAAAAGGGACGACGUGAAGCUUGGCGAGCUAAAAAAGAAAUUAAGGAACUGUAUAGGUGUAAAGCGCAGCGUACUCAAAAGGUUGCCACUAUUUCUUGCCCGUCUUCUAUCCGUCUAAUGUAAGUAUUUUGAUCAUCAAAUGUUCUUUCAAUUGAAAUUGCAUCAUGAGUAGGCAAUUUGGAUGAAUAUUCUUUUGGAUUAUUUAAUAUCAAACGGUAUUGUGUUUGCGAAGCUUAAUUGAACAAUGCUCUGAUAAUCAAUUGAUUAGAAAAUUGAUUGCUCAUUUAUUUUGAAAUAGGUGAAACUUGACAUCAGAUUAUCGCUUAAGGCAGUGUGAUCAUGCAGCAGGUUUUUGUUUUCCAUUUUUUGACUUUUGAGGUUGUUGCUGAUCCCGAAACAACUUGAUCACAACUACAAUCUUGAUGAGCUGAGGCACCAUAUGUCUACCCAUCCUUUAUUGCCUUCCAAUAUGGGCUGGGAGCAGGAAAUUGAUCUCGCUUGUUUUAGUUUAAUAUAUAAUGUUUUAUAAUUGGUAUGCCUGUCUUAUUUCAUAAUCAUAAAAUAUGUUCUCACCUUUCUGUGAGACCUCUUGUUAUUUAAAAAAAAAAUAUAUAUGUAGGGCCCAAAAAUGAAUAACUAGAAUUGCAUAUUGCUGCAGCCAGUAGUAGAACACUUUUGUCACGUCUUUUUUCUUUUUCUUUUUUAUAUUACCGUACACACUUUGGAUCUUACAAUUUGUUUAUUCGUUGUUUCUUUGCAAUGAGAUAAUGAUUUUUUUUUAUCUCAUGUUCUUGUCUUGAUAUAUCUAUCUGUCUAUAUUUUUCAAUGUGGAGCAUAUGGGAUUUACUCCAAGAAGGGGUGAGUAGACAUUUUCCUCGUAAUGCUGUUUAUAGUGUAGAAUUUACCUUGAUAAUAGAAUAGGCUGACUCGAAUCCCAGAUGAAACCUCUGUUUUUUUUUUCUUGUUUGGAUGGUACCCAAUACAAUUUAUUAAAGAAAAAUUAUGGGGAAAAUAUUUUUACAAGCAAUGUGACAGUGUGAUAGUAUAAACCAUUAACAAUAUAUUUUAGGAUUGCAGUUACUAGAAUACAUCACUAAUUCAUACAAACCUCUUUAUAUCAUACAAGUACAUACCGGGCAAACUCGGAAAUAUAGUUGUAAGAAAUUUGCUGGUUGGAUUAUGAGAAGAAAGAAUGCCGCAUGAUUGUACUAAGGAAAUGAAGCAGUGCUGGGGAAAGGGAAAUCUGAAUGAAAUGAACUGGGAGGAGAAGUGCGACAUGAUUUUUCCGCAUGAGGAACUGGGGCAGAGUAGCCUCCUCCAGAUCUUGGUGUUGGGUUCCAGGUUCCAUAAUCUCCAAAGCUUGGUUCGAUCUGGUAGUGCUUCUCGCUUCCCUCGUUCCAGUCCUCAAGUGGAUGUAAGAGAGGAGAUGAUGUAGGUGAUGAUGGCAGCAGUGGUGAAGAUGAUGAUGAUGAUUCUGUAGCUAUCACAGCUAUCAAUGUCAAUAUAACUAGCAUGAACACACAUAUGAUGUGCCCAACCGACCUCUCACUUAAACUUGACAUGCUUAUUUUGCGCGUCUUGUGCAUUCUAAUUGAAAGCUUUUUCACUGUGUCUAAUGUUUUGUUCAUCAACGAACCCUGUUACUUAAUUUUAAUUUUAGUUGAUUUAUGCUAAUUUGAAUACAACAGCUGUUGUCUUAGUAGGAACCAGUGUUUGAUUAAAUUGAUCCUUCUUUGCUCACGAAAUGGAUGAUGCUUCAUGAGUUUGUCAUGUGUUUUUCACAAAAAAACAAACAUCAAUUUCGGCAUCUUGGCUUCAUUUUCAAUUGCCAUUUUCCGUUUCAUUGUUAAACACGAGCAAUCGUUCCUUUGUACAGCAAUUCGAAGAAGUGUACUAGUUGGGAAUUCCGUAUUUUAUUUGGAAAAUGCAAAUGAAAAUUAAAUAGUAAGCUACCGUAAAUCAAAACACAACUCUUACAUCAUCUUAGUUUUUAAAACACCAAAGAGAAUAAUGGUUGCUUUUAUGUGCUAAUUCAUAUGGUAUUUUGAAAAUUCCAUUUAAUUCCCAGAUUUUAUCUUAUAAUAAAAUUCUCAACAAUAAAAAAACAAGUAGGUUUUUGGUGGAUAUUGGAUAAAAGUCCAUGAAUCAGUAAAAGUAUCCAAUUAAUAACCUUUAACAUAAAAGAGCUUAUCCAAGGUGACUGACAAGUUGUUGUCAAUCGUGUUUAUCAUAAAACAAACAUUGCAGCUAAUUUUCUUAUUAUUUAUGCUCUUACUCUUCCUAUCGGGAUCCAUGUUUUUAACUUUGCACCUAUAGAUCUUGAUUUUUGGUUGUAAUUUGAUAGAUUUAGAAUUGCGCUCUCUCGUUUUGUUAGGCUUUGACUUUUAUUAGAUUUUUCACUGUUGAAAAAUCUUAUAAAAAUAAGUAAUUUAGAAAUUUUCAUUACUGGGAACACAUCGCUAGCCUAAGGCGAGCUUCGCUAUCCUCCCGAAGCUGGUAUUUUCCUCGUUAAAACAAAAAAUCCUGUAGCAAAUUAAGCAAAUGGUUGUAAUUCAGGAAGAGGGUGUAAUAGUCCUUCUAAAAUUUUACUUUGACAUUCCUUCCCAAUCUUUGGGUUUUGGAGUCCAUGAUUAUGACAGCUGGGGAAAUUUACGAAAAUAACCAUAAAAUUUUUACUAUUUUUCGAAUUAACCCUCUCAACUUUUUUCUAUCAACAUUAGCCAAACACACGCUUUUCUCCCCAAAUUACCCUUCUUUACAAAUGAAAAGAAACUUGGUGCGACAGGCCCAAGUCUUGGUGCGACAGGCACCUGUCGCACUAAGCUUUGGUGCGACAGGCACCUGUCGCACCAAGCUUUGGUGCGACAGGCACCUGUCGCACCAAGCUUUGGUGCGACAUGCAACCUGUCGCACCAUGCCUUGGUGCGACAGGCACCUGUCGCACCAAGCUUCGUGCGACAGGUUGCCUUCUUCUACCUCAGUAUUUGUUUGUUUUCGCCAGUCCUUUCGUCUUUGUUCGUCUCUUCUUAUUCGUAUGUAAUAUCUUCUUCUACCUCAGAUCGAAUCUCAUCCGACAACCCAAACAACAAAACAAAAUCAGCUUUUUAAUUCUCUAAAAUCCAAUUUCGGAAUUCAAAUUCCCCGGGAUUUUCCAUCAAAAGCCACGUUGCGAAAUGCUAGGCGGGCUGUACGGAUACCUACCUCCACCCUCCGAUGAGGACAAACCCACCAACACGACCACCACUGUCUGGUCAAUUUUCGCGCCACCACAAACCAUCCUCAAGCCCCAAUCCAAACCCAAAACCACCCAAAAUUCUCUCCCGACUAGACCCCAUUCCUCACCUGCAAUCGCACCUUCCCCCGACGACGUGGUAGCGCUGCCGCAACCGGCAUUGGUCGACGUGACUUCGACCGUAAUCGAGGAGCACGACCCCGCUAGACCGAACGAUUACGAGGAUUAUAGGAGAGAGAAGAAGAAGAAAGAGGUGGAUGUUGAAAUUAAUAGAGAACUGGAGAGAAGAAGGCAAGAGGAAGAGGAAAGGGAGAUGAGAGAGAAGGGUAAUUUGGUCUCAACGGCUCUUUUAUGGCUAAUGUUGAUAGAAAUUUGUUUGAGGGGUUAAGAUGAAAAAAACUAAAAUUUUUAUGGUUAUUAGUGUAAAUUUCCCCAGCUGAAAAGGGUCGUUUACUCGUUUACUCUUUGGACAUAAAUAGAUGAUUUGUAGGCCUUUAACUCAAUCAUCAGGCCUUCGGCCUUCAGAGGAUGCAAUUCGGCACAAUUCUCUUAGGGUGCGUUUGGUAUACGUAUUGUAUUAUAUUAUAUUGUAUUAUUUUAAUAUUAGUGUAUUAUAUUAUAUUAUAUUGUAUUAGUAUUGUAUUAUAAUAAUAUUAUACAAUGUUUGGUACUACACUGUACUGUAAUAAUUUUUUUGAUUAAUUUGAAUUAAAUAUUAUAUUAUAUUAAUAUUAAUAUUAUUAUUAAUUUUAAAUUAAUAUUAUUCAUAUUUAAAUAUUUAUUAUUAGUCAUAAUAAAUUAUAAAUUUAUUAAUAAAUUAAAAUGUAAAAAUAAAAAUAUAAUAUAAUAUUAUUGAACAAUAAAUCAUUUAUUUAUAUUAAUAAUUAUAAUGUAAAAAAAUAAAAAUAUUAAAUUAAAAAAUAAUGUUUAUUAUUAUUAUUAUUAUUAUUAUAAAAUUAAAGUAAAAGCAAAAGUUAGCAAAAGUAAAUGGAAAGUUGGAAAUGAAAAGGUCAAAAAAAAAAAAAAGGAAAGAGCAAGCGGUAGUUUGCCGCAUUAGCUAAACCUGCAUUAGAUUGGCCCAUUAUGCAGUGUUUCUGUAGCUUUUAACUUACUAAACAUAGGUUUGUAUAAAGCUAAUGCAAUGAGGAGUUAUAAUACAGCAACCAAAUAUGCCUUUAUUACAUAGCCCAGCCCACAUCCAUCUGUCAUUUUAGGAAGCUUGUGUUGUUAUAUGUCAUGUUAUGUACUUAGUAGCUUAGCUAAUGGAUCCAUAUCAGUGAAAAGAAAACUAACGGACCAAAUGAGGUUUAGAUAUGAAGCACUGCUAAAAUAACAAGUUCAUUGAGAGUCGGCAUUUGAGAUUGACAAAAGUUGAGCAUAAAUUAAAUUUGAAACUUGAGAGUUUAUCUCAAGUAGAAAGCUUGAAAUUUAAUAUUAAAUUAAAGAUUAUAAAGACCACGCAAACAAAAUUCUAAUGCCAAUACUAAUUUUAACAUAAUUUCAAAGCUUGACGUUGACGCAAUUCUCCGUAUAUGUAAAAGAUUUGUAAGCAGAAGACAAAAAAACAUAAACACAAAUUCAUUUGUUGGCAAAACACCAAAUGUAAACACUGCAAUUAUGGUCACUACCAUACAUAUUAUACUUAGAAUCACGGCAAGGGAUUGAUCUUCCUCUUCUUUUAAAAACAUCUCUUGCAAAUUCAUAUCUACCUAGAUAAUAUUUUGAAUUUGGUUAUUGAAAAUCGAUCACAACCCACCCUUAUUCAUUUCCCUAAAUGGCCAAAAGAAAUCUGAAAACCCUAAAAGCCAUCAGCCGCUACAGUUUGUUACCACUAACAGCCCAUCAGCCCCCAGCAUUCAUCGUCACCCACCAACACUCAGCCGCGCCAGUCGGUAAUUUAAUGCUAUUAUGAUUCUGUACGAAAUGAGAGUAAAAAUUAGGUAUUGCAUGAAUGAAUUUUAGAAGAUGAAUUCUGAGUUGAAUUUCGGUGUGUGGAUUUUAGAUUGUUGCAUCGAGAUUGCUUUCUGGUAUUAUCUUGUAAAUCAUUGCGCUGUUCUAUUGUAGUUUUGAAAAUGAGAUGGUCCCAGCAGGUUUAAUGUCCAUUUUCUCACUUAUCAUGAUGGUCAAUUUUUAAAUGGCAAAGGCAAAAGAAUUGGAAUAGAUAUAUAGAAAAAAAAAAAAAAAAUCAAAGGACUAGAGGUCAUGCAGAGAAAACAAAACCAACAGAAUGAAAAGACGCAGGGAAAGCAAAAGACAAAAAGCAUAUACAGCCACGUGAAAGAAAAGAAACGAGAGACGUGCACAGAGAAUUUUGUCUCAUUUUGUCCUUACGUGGAAUUACUGAAAAACAUAAAUGGGUUUCACGUUUUAUUUGCACCACACUUUUACAAUCAGUGUUUAAUUUUUUAAACCGUUCAACCUGUAAUUUAUUUAACUGAAACUAUAUAUGACAACGAUUAUCCCUUUUCCAAUAAUGGUAAUAUUUUUUUCUUUUAACUCACUCACUGCUACUUUUAUAAGAAUGUUUUAACAUGUUUAAAAAAAAAAAAGAUAAAAUAGCAAUAGAAAGAUGAUGGCAAUGCAAAAAUCUUGAUUGGAAUUGGUCAAGGAUUGGUACAAGCCAGUUGUUUAAUCCCCAUCCUCUUCAUCUCCUUCUCCACCAGUUGUCUUCUUUACAGCGGCCUUUAGGUUCUUUCGCUUCAAUCUUUCACUUCAUUAUGUUAUGCUGGAUUAACAUAGAGAAGCAAGUAUAGUUAUAAAAUAUGUGAUGAUUCAUAACUCAUUUGCAAUGAGCUGCAGGGUUUCCUUUCUUCUUCAUCUCUUCAAGGUUAUUCUAAAAUAAGAAACAAACAAUUUAAUUAAGUUAAAAAAAAAAAUCGAGGGUUCAUAAUUUGAGAUGAGGAAUUUCUAAAGAAAUGAAUGAUAAUAAGGAUAAAUUGGGGAUUAUAUUGGUAUGUUGAGAGCGAAAAAUUAUUUUAAACUUAUUAAUGCAUUUGCUGAGAAAUAGGGGCUAAUUAAUGAGAUAAAUUAAGAGAGUUACAUAUCACCAUUGGUUUACUUAUCUCUAUCAAUAAAUCAUGAUUAGGAUUUAAUACUGAACUAAAAUUUUGUUUGAGCACCUAAUCAAUAGUGAGGAUUCAUUAUUUUAUUUAUUAUUUAAUUUUUCUUUCUUAACAAUCACUAAUUUAUUCAGUACUCGACAAAAACUUAAAAUUCUGGUCCAUCAGCAUUAAAUUUAUAAAUCACAUCACCAAUCACUGAUUGGAAAUUAAUAUAUAAAUAUUAAGAAAAACUCCACAAUGGCACUAUAUAUUAAACGGAUACGCAACUCCUAUGAACCGUGCACACACUCACUGACUUUUAGUGAGAAAUAAUUAAGAGAUUAGCGUAAGCAACAACAAUGGUGGUAAAGGUGUACGGUCCAGCUUAUGCUUCUCCAAAACGAGUGAUUGUAUGCUUGAUUGAGAAGCAAAUUGAAUUUGAAACUGUUCCUGUUGAUCUUGUCAAAGGAGAGAAUAAAAAUCCUGAGUACCUCAAAUUACAGGUUCAUAUAUAAAUUCAAUUAAUUAAGCAUCAUUUUUUUUAUAUAUAUAUAAAAAUUAUUUAACUUCUAUAUUGAAGAUCGUGUGUCUUGAUUUGCUUUGAUUAAUUAAUUAAUUAACUCUUUUGCUUUCAAUUUUGACAAAAUAAUAUGUGCAGCCUUUUGGAUCCCUUCCAGUUAUUCAAGAUGGAGAUUUUACUCUAUACGGUACACCUUUCGUUUUCACAUAUACUGAAAUGUGAAAUUUGAGUAAGAGCAGAAUAACUUUUAGGUUUGAGUUAAUUGACCAGAUAGUUGGGUCUUGGUAUAUCUGUUUUCUUUGCAAUUCAUUUAGUUAUUUUUUAGUUCUUAUUUACUGCAUAUCAAUUUUAUUGAUGUUUAAAUUAUAUCAGAAAAAUUAAUUAUUGAAAAAGUUAGAUGGAUCAACUAUGAAAAUAAUUGCACAAAUAUCUUGGAAAAACUCUAGAGACUUGAAGGAGAUGUAUUCUUUUAAUUAACUAAUUACGAACUUAAACAUGGCACAGGUAACUUUCAACUUCAGAAGUUUUAUAUUGUAGUUAUAAGUUUAACGUUUCAGGUAUUGAUUCAUUUGCAGAAUCGCGAGCUAUCAUAAGGUAUUAUGCCGAGAAGUACAAGUCUCAAGGAACAACCGAUCUUCUGGGAAGAACAGUUGAAGAAAGAGGCCUGGUGGAACAAUGGCUGGAAGUAGAGGCACACAACUUUCACCCACCAAUUUACCAGAUGACCACGCAAAUUUUAUUUUUCGCGAAGAGGGGACUUCCUGCCGAUGAGAAUUUGAUAAAGGAGAGCGAGGAAAAGCUUGGAAAAGUUCUCGACGUUUACGAGGAGAGGCUGUCGAAGAGCAAGUAUUUGGCCGGGGAUUUCUUCAGCCUGGCUGAUCUGAGCCACCUUCCAUUUACUCAAUACUUGGUUGGGCCGAUGGAGAAGGAGUAUAUGAUUAGAGACAGGAAGCAUGUGAGUGCCUGGUGGGAUGAUAUUAGCAACAGGCUAUCCUGGAAGAAAGUCCUUGAGCUUUAUUAGCUACUUA